Non-coding RNA from Vicugna pacos (alpaca), 585 nucleotides. Lineage: Eukaryota; Metazoa; Chordata; Mammalia; Artiodactyla; Camelidae. The record is from RefSeq and is a predicted model, not a curated record.
GGUUGUGCCGCAGAGUGCCUUGCUGAGCAUACGAAUGCCCAGCUUGAACUUGUCUUUCCUUUUUCCAGCUACGGAAUGAGGCCCCCUUUCCCUGGUUCGGAAGUGGCUGGCGAGGAUUCUGCAGACCUUUGCCCUUCUGUCGGCAGGAAGGAGAUCUGGCUUCGCUCUCCCAUCCUUAUCCCGUUUAAUUUGCCAUCACAGCCAGCAGCAGUCAGAACAGGGCCCCACCCGGUGUGUAUUUAGAAGCACCUUCUUCCAGGACUGCAUCGGCCCCCAUUAACAUAUCAGUCGGAUCCCUGCUCCCCACACAGUUAGGAAAUAAAAUUCGGAGGAAGAAGGAUGUUAAAGUCGCUUCUGAUCACAUCAAAGUGCAGCGGACUCUCAGUAUGGGAGACGACUAGGAGGAGGAGCCUGGGCUAAAGCCUCAUUGGAGCCUCACAGAUACGGACUGAAGUCGCAGCAGCCACAGGUCUGGGCCAGAGGAGAGUCGGGUGAUCAGACCCCAGACAGAACCAAAGUCCCGUGUGGGACAAGUCCCAAGAGAAUCAGAGACCUGCCAGGAGCAGGAAGCAAGAGACUGCAGCA